Molecule: unclassified non-coding RNA, 347 nt
Filed under: Streptococcus intermedius
Lineage: Bacteria; Bacillati; Bacillota; Bacilli; Lactobacillales; Streptococcaceae
Description: partial 16S-23S ribosomal RNA intergenic spacer
Rfam family: Bacterial small subunit ribosomal RNA (bases 1-77)
Source: RNAcentral
CUAAGGUGGGAUAGAUGAUUGGGGUGAAGUCGUAACAAGGUAGCCGUAUCGGAAGGUGCGGCUGGAUCACCUCCUUUCUAAGGAAAAUACGGAAGACAUUGAGUUCGUUUUGUUUAGUUUUGAGAGGUCUUGUGGGGCCUUAGCUCAGCUGGGAGAGCGCCUGCUUUGCACGCAGGAGGUCAGCGGUUCGAUCCCGCUAGGCUCCAUUAGGAUAUGGAAUUCACCUUUAGUUGAUGAUAUCCUAAAGUAGCACAUUGAAAAUUGAAUAACGAUAUCAAAUAGUAACAAGAAAAUAAACCGAAAACGCUGUGAAUAUUAAUGAGUUUAUGACUGAAAGGUCAAAAUAA